This 73-nucleotide transfer RNA is filed under the name Stereum hirsutum FP-91666 SS1. RNAcentral describes it as "tRNA-Met (CAT) (tRNA-Met-CAT-3-1)". It matches the Rfam family "tRNA". Rfam says of the family: Transfer RNA (tRNA) molecules are approximately 80 nucleotides in length. Their secondary structure includes four short double-helical elements and three loops (D, anti-codon, and T loops). Lineage: Eukaryota; Fungi; Basidiomycota; Agaricomycetes; Russulales; Stereaceae. The record is from RNAcentral.
GCUUGGUUGGCGCAGUUGGUAGCGCGCAGGUCUCAUAAUCCUGAGGUCGUCGGGUCAAAGCCGACACUGAGCA